UACAGAGGUCCCGAGCGUUAGGCGGAAUCACUGGGCUUAAAGCGUGUGUAGGCGGGCCGUUAAGUACCUUGUGAAAUCCCCCGGCUCAACCGGGGAACUGCUGGGUAUACUGGCGGCCUUGAGCGGCCUAGGGGCAGAUGGAACAGACGGUGGAGCGGUGAAAUGCGUAGAUAUCGGGAGGAACACCAGUGGCGAAGGCGGCACCCUGGACCAGCACUGACACUGAGGCACGAAAGCGUGGGGAGCAAACAGG
This 253-nucleotide ribosomal RNA is filed under the name uncultured bacterium. RNAcentral's name for it is "partial 16S ribosomal RNA". It matches the Rfam family "Bacterial small subunit ribosomal RNA", at positions 524 to 776 of the family's 1533-position model. The record is from RNAcentral.